RNAcentral lists this ribosomal RNA (468 nucleotides) under uncultured bacterium. RNAcentral describes it as "partial 16S ribosomal RNA". It matches the Rfam family "Bacterial small subunit ribosomal RNA", at positions 28 to 507 of the family's 1533-position model. The record is from RNAcentral.
GACGAACGCUGGCGGCGUGCUUAACACAUGCAAGUCGAACGGAAAGGCCCUGCUUUUGUGGGGUGGUCGAGUGGCGAACGGGUGAGUAACACGUGAGUAACCUGCCCUUGACUUUGUGAUAACUUCAGGGAACUGGGGCUAAUACCGGAUAGGAGCUCCUGCUGCACGGUGGGGGUUGGAAAGUUUCGGCGGUUGGGGAUGGACUCGCGGCGUAUCAGCUUGUUGGUGGGGUAGUGGCUUACCAAGGCUUUGACGGGUAGCCGGCCUGAGAGGGUGACCGGCCACAUUGGGACUGAGAUACGGCGCAGACUCCUACGGGAGGCAGCAGUGGGGAAUAUUGCACAAUGGGCGGAAGCCUGAUGCAGCAACGCCGCGUGCGGGAUGACGGCCUUCGGGUUGUAAACCGCUUUCGCCUGUGACGAAGCGUGAGUGACGGUAAUGGGUAAAGAAGCACCGGCUAACUACGUG